Molecule: non-coding RNA, 100 nt
Organism: Pelobates cultripes (western spadefoot toad)
Lineage: Eukaryota; Metazoa; Chordata; Amphibia; Anura; Pelobatidae
Source: the annotation of a GenBank genome assembly
UUAAAAGACCUGUGAGUGCAUCCUGGAUUACUUUUUUCUACAUAUAUAUAUAUAUAUAUAUGUAGAAAAAAGUAAUCCAGGAUGCACUCACAGGUCUUUU